Molecule: ribosomal RNA, 198 nt
Filed under: Phialophora sp.
Lineage: Eukaryota; Fungi; Ascomycota; Eurotiomycetes; Chaetothyriales; Herpotrichiellaceae
Description: partial large subunit ribosomal RNA
Rfam family: Eukaryotic large subunit ribosomal RNA
Source: RNAcentral
AGUAACGGCGAGUGAAGCGGCAACAGCUCAAAUUUAAAAUCUGGCCUCUUCGGGGCCCGAGUUGUAAUUUGUAGAGGAUGUUUUGGGUACCGCACCGGUCUAAAUUUCUUGGAACAGAAUGUCAGAGAGGGUGAGAAUCCCGUCUUGGACCGGCGUAGGGCCCGUGUAAAACUCCUUCGACGAGUCGAGUUGUUUGGG